AAAUGAUCCACAUUACGAGAAUUUCUGCAGAGAAAACAAGCAAAUUAUUUUUCAAGACACAUUUGCAGAAAAGAGUGUUGCCUUAAAUCCUUGAAUUCUGACUACAGGGUUCUGCUGCCUCAUCUGACCAUUACACAAAUAAGGCUGGAAGGACCACUGCUUUAACUCAACAGGGUGGCUCACCAUUACUGUUCUGCAAGAGGUGCACCACUGUUCAACAGAACAACUCUAGGUCACAGACCAGGGGUAAACAAAUGGGCAUACAACAAAUCAUGCCAAGGAACAAGUCUGUCAGGGGCGGAAGGUCAAAUUAUUGUUGAUCUAUCCAGAGUGGGCACAGAAAAGGAAUCCUUGGUGCAGCUCUAAGAUCAUCAGAAAGACCUGCAGAGCCUUCAGGAUGGGCAAAGACAAGCCUUCAUACAUGGACUAGAGGGCUGCAAGGGC
Molecule: long non-coding RNA, 444 nt
Organism: Passer domesticus (house sparrow)
Lineage: Eukaryota; Metazoa; Chordata; Aves; Passeriformes; Passeridae
Exons: 3
Source: RefSeq, a predicted model, not a curated record